RNAcentral lists this ribosomal RNA (185 nucleotides) under Loma embiotocia. RNAcentral describes it as "partial large subunit ribosomal RNA". The stretch from base 92 to 185 matches the Rfam family "Eukaryotic large subunit ribosomal RNA", at positions 1 to 95 of the family's 3401-position model. The record is from RNAcentral. Lineage: Eukaryota; Fungi; Microsporidia; Glugeidae.
CUCUGCGCAAGGGAUCUUUUGGUUCGCUAGACGAAGAAGGGCGCAGCGGAAUGCGAAAUGUGCAGGAGUCGCAGCGAAGACAGCACAUGCCUGAAAUCACGAGAGUGAGACUACCCCUUUGAAUUAAGCAUAUGAGUAAAGGGAGGAAAAAAAACUAACAAGGAUUCCUGUAGUAGCGGCGAGCG